UGGGGAAUCUUCCGCAAUGGACGAAAGUCUGACGGAGCAACGCCGCGUGUAUGAUGAAGGUCUUCGGAUUGUAAAGUACUGUCAUUGGGGAAGAACGGUUUUCUUGAAAAGAUUGAGAAGACAUGACGGUACCCAAGGAGGAAGCCCCGGCUAACUACGUGCCAGCAGCCGCGGUAAUACGUAGGGGGCAAGCGUUGUCCGGAAUUAUUGGGCGUAAAGGGCGCGUAGGCGGGCCUUUAAGUCCGGUGUGAAAGAUCAGGGCUCAACCCUGAGAGUGCAUCGGAAACUGGAGGCCUUGAGGACAGGAGAGGAAAGUGGAAUUCCACGUGUAGCGGUGAAAUGCGUAGAUAUGUGGAGGAACACCAGUGGCGAAAGGCGACUUUCUGGACUGUAACUGACGCUGAGGCGCGAAAGCGUGGGGAGCAAACAGGAUUAGAUACCCUGGUAGUCCACGCCGUAAACGAUGAGUGCUAAGGUGUAGAGGGUAUCGACCCCUUCUGUGCGCAGUUAACACAAUAAGCACU
Molecule: ribosomal RNA, 524 nt
Filed under: uncultured bacterium
Lineage: Bacteria
Description: partial 16S ribosomal RNA
Rfam family: Bacterial small subunit ribosomal RNA
Source: RNAcentral